AGAGUUUGAUCAUGGCUCAGAUUGAACGCUGGCGGCAGGCCUAACACAUGCAAGUCGAACGGUAACAGGAAGCAGCUUGCUGCUUUGCUGACGAGUGGCGGACGGGUGAGUAAUGUCUGGGAAACUGCCUGAUGGAGGGGGAUAACUACUGGAAACGGUGGCUAAUACCGCAUAACGUCGCAAGACCAAAGAGGGGGACCUUCGGGCCUCUUGCCAUCAGAUGUGCCCAGAUGGGAUUAGCUUGUUGGUGAGGUAACGGCUCACCAAGGCGACGAUCCCUAGCUGGUCUGAGAGGAUGACCAGCCACACUGGAACUGAGACACGGUCCAGACUCCUACGGGAGGCAGCAGUGGGGAAUAUUGCACAAUGGGCGCAAGCCUGAUGCAGCCAUGCCGCGUGUAUGAAGAAGGCCUUCGGGUUGUAAAGUACUUUCAGCGGGGAGGAAGGUGUUGUGGUUAAUAACCGCAGCAAUUGACGUUACCCGCAGAAGAAGCACCGGCUAACUCCGUGCCAGCAGCCGCGGUAAUMCGGAGGGUGCAAGCGUUAAUCGGAAUUACUGGGCGUAAAGCGCACGCAGGCGGUCUGUCAAGUCGGAUGUGAAAUCCCCGGGCUCAACCUGGGAACUGCAUUCGAAACUGGCAGGCUUGAGUCUUGUAGAGGGGGGUAGAAUUCCAGGUGUAGCGGUGAAAUGCGUAGAGAUCUGGAGGAAUACCGGUGGCGAAGGCGGCCCCCUGGACAAAGACUGACGCUCAGGUGCGAAAGCGUGGGGAGCAAACAGGAUUAGAUACCCUGGUAGUCCACGCCGUAAACGAUGUCUACUUGGAGGUUGUGCCCUUGAGGCGUGGCUUCCGGAGCUAACGCGUUAAGUAGACCGCCUGGGGAGUACGGCCGCAAGGUUAAAACUCAAAUGAAUUGACGGGGGCCCGCACAAGCGGUGGAGCAUGUGGUUUAAUUCGAUGCAACGCGAAGAACCUUACCUGGUCUUGACAUCCACGGAAGUUUUCAGAGAUGAGAAUGUGCCUUCGGGAACCGUGAGACAGGUGCUGCAUGGCUGUCGUCAGCUCGUGUUGUGAAAUGUUGGGUUAAGUCCCGCAACGAGCGCAACCCUUAUCCUUUGUUGCCAGCGGUCCGGCCGGGAACUCAAAGGAGACUGCCAGUGAUAAACUGGAGGAAGGUGGGGAUGACGUCAAGUCAUCAUGGCCCUUACGACCAGGGCUACACACGUGCUACAAUGGCGCAUACAAAGAGAAGCGACCUMGCGAGAGCAAGCGGAMCUCAUAAAGUGCGUCGUAGUCCGGAUUGGAGUCUGCAACUCGAMUCCAUGAAGUCGGAAUCGCUAGUAAUCGUGGAUCAGAAUGCCACGGUGAAUACGUUCCCGGGCCUUGUACACACCGCCCGUCACACCAUGGGAGUGGGUUGCAAAAGAAGUAGGUAGCUUAACCUUCGGGAGGGCGCUUACCACUUUGUGAUUCAUGACUGGGGUGAAGUCGUAACAAGGUAACCGUAGGGGAACCUGCGGUUG
Molecule: ribosomal RNA, 1522 nt
Filed under: Salmonella enterica subsp. enterica serovar Manhattan
Lineage: Bacteria; Pseudomonadati; Pseudomonadota; Gammaproteobacteria; Enterobacterales; Enterobacteriaceae
Description: bacterial SSU rRNA
Rfam family: Bacterial small subunit ribosomal RNA
Source: RNAcentral